GAUGAACGCUGGCGGCGUGCCUAAUACAUGCAAGUCGAGCGAACAGACGAGGAGCUUGCUCCUCUGACGUUAGCGGCGGACGGGUGAGUAACACGUGGAUAACCUACCUAUAAGACUGGGAUAACUUCGGGAAACCGGAGCUAAUACCGGAUAAUAUAUUGAACAGCAUGGUUCAAUAGUGAAAGACGGUUUUGCUGUCACUUAUAGAUGGAUCCGCGCCGCAUUAGCUAGUUGGUAAGGUAACGGCUUACCAAGGCAACGAUGCGUAGCCGACCUGAGAGGGUGAUCGGCCACACUGGAACUGAUACACGGUCCAGACUCCUACGGGAGGCAGCAGUAGGGAAUCUUCCGCAAUGGGCGAAAGCCUGACGGAGCAACGCCGCGUGAGUGAUGAAGGUCUUCGGAUCGUAAAACUCUGUUAUUAGGGAAGAACAAAUGUGUAAGUAACUAUGCACGUCUUGACGGUACCUAAUCAGAAAGCCACGGCUAACUACGUG
RNAcentral lists this ribosomal RNA (497 nucleotides) under uncultured bacterium. Its description in RNAcentral is "partial 16S ribosomal RNA". It matches the Rfam family "Bacterial small subunit ribosomal RNA", at positions 28 to 507 of the family's 1533-position model. The record is from RNAcentral.